GUGGCUAUAUAGUUAGCGAGCGCACUGGGCAUACAGAUCUCACAGAUGCUGUCGGCACUCACUGCUGACAGUGUACCAAUGUUAGACAUGGCUGUGUAUAUACACAGCCGAGCUAGUGAAGGUGAGCAGUUCACUGCCAAAAGACAGUCUUUUUUUUUUUUUUUAUCCCAAAUCAAUAAA
Long non-coding RNA from Bufo bufo (common toad), 180 nucleotides. RefSeq lists it as uncharacterized. The record is from RefSeq and is a predicted model, not a curated record. The transcript has 2 exons. NCBI's taxonomy places the organism in Eukaryota, Metazoa, Chordata, Amphibia, Anura, Bufonidae.